This 257-nucleotide unclassified non-coding RNA is filed under the name Hevea brasiliensis (rubber tree). The record is from RNAcentral. Lineage: Eukaryota; Viridiplantae; Streptophyta; Magnoliopsida; Malpighiales; Euphorbiaceae.
GGCCACUGCAUCAGUUAAAUAUAAGCAUCCUUCCCCUUCUAUUGGGCAGGUUCUUUCAGAGGUUUGAAUCCAUGACCUACAGGUCACAAUGAUGACCAUGAGGCAUGCUAAAUAUCAAAUAAACGCCAGCGCAUAAAUUGUAACAGGCCAUCUGCUGCUAGAAGCCAAGUAUUUAAUUGAAGGACUCCACCAGGAGGUCCUCUCAACUCGUUGCUAGUUCUUCCAGAAGGGAUGGGAUUGAAACCCAUGAUAAAAGC